GGUUGGAAUUUGAAUAUUGUAUGACGUGUGGCCUUUAAAAAGUCCUGAAAGGAGGCUUGCAAGAUCCUUUCAGCUCGAACUGUGAAACAUCAGCUAUGACAAAACUCUUACUGGAUGAUGAUUAUUGCAUUUCAUCACUGUCAGUAUCGCUUAAAGCUAGAUAUACUAUCAAAAGUACAUGAAGAACAAAUAAAGAAAUUCAAGGCUCCUGACUGGUGACAAAAAUACUACUGCUUCUCAGGCUUAUCUGGUUCUUCUUCCUUCUCAGGAUCUUCCUCCUCUUCUUCUUUCUUUUUCUCUUCUUCUUCUUCUUC
This 314-nucleotide unclassified non-coding RNA is filed under the name Hevea brasiliensis (rubber tree). The record is from RNAcentral. Lineage: Eukaryota; Viridiplantae; Streptophyta; Magnoliopsida; Malpighiales; Euphorbiaceae.